GCGGAUCCAAUGAAUGAUAAAAAAAUGAUCAAACGAGUUAAUAUAUCGAGAUCUAAAGUAGUAAAUGUGAUAUAUAAAUACAUGUUAUUACAGGUAUGUAAUAAGUUAAAUACUAUAUGAUAACAAGGUAAGUUGGCUAUUUGAUUUGUGAUAUAAAUUAUAUAUGAUGCAAAUGAAAGUAUACGUGUGUAUGAAAGUUUAUAUUCGGCCAAAUGGUAAGUAUGUGUGAUAUUG
RNAcentral lists this long non-coding RNA (234 nucleotides) under Gossypium barbadense (sea-island cotton). RNAcentral's name for it is "long non-coding RNA (GBAR_LNC014808)". The record is from RNAcentral. Lineage: Eukaryota; Viridiplantae; Streptophyta; Magnoliopsida; Malvales; Malvaceae.